This 329-nucleotide long non-coding RNA is filed under the name Anser brachyrhynchus (Pink-footed goose). Its description in RNAcentral is "lncRNA (ENSABRG00000009550.1)". The record is from RNAcentral. Lineage: Eukaryota; Metazoa; Chordata; Aves; Anseriformes; Anatidae.
GGGUGAGCUAACAGGACUCGUUCUUCCUCUCUUUGCAUUUAAAAAUAUCUGUCUUGCACUGUUUCUGCUUCUGUCAGUUAUUGUCAGCAUCCUAUCCAGAAGAUAUAAUGUAUAGUCUCUAUGCCCUGUGGAAUUUUGGAGAGUGCAUGCUUUCAUCAGAGUCUUCACAAAGUGCUCACAACCGGAAGAUGCUCGGCAUUGAGGUAGCCACCACAGCCGUAGGACAUGCCCUAAAGUUUGUGUGUAUACAGAGUCUGUGGGACUGUGUGUGUGCAGUGGAGCAGAAGACUUUCCCCCAAGUAAAGCACAGUGAGUUACAUGCAGACUUG